Molecule: long non-coding RNA, 258 nt
Filed under: Nicotiana benthamiana
Lineage: Eukaryota; Viridiplantae; Streptophyta; Magnoliopsida; Solanales; Solanaceae
Description: long non-coding RNA (NBEN_LNC018349)
Source: RNAcentral
AUUUCUGUAACGUGAACUACAUUCGAACUGAUUCUUUUAUGGAUAUGUAGGCAACCUCACGGUUUGAUCCCACAAAAACAAAAAUUCAAAAGUUCCCAAGCAAGAAAUUGGGGCAUAAGUUGUGGUUUUGCAAUAAAUCUGAUUCUGAUUUUAAUUUUAAUCUGUUUGAACUGUUUUGAGCCUUUUAUACCCUUUCUAUCUAACACUGUCUAAAAGCCUACAUUACGGUCCAAAGAAAGACCUUCUGAUCAGUCUUCG